This 448-nucleotide ribosomal RNA is filed under the name uncultured bacterium. RNAcentral's name for it is "SSU rRNA". It matches the Rfam family "Bacterial small subunit ribosomal RNA", at positions 26 to 518 of the family's 1533-position model. The record is from RNAcentral.
AGAGCGAACGCUGGCGGCAGGCUUAACACAUGCAAGUCGAGCGGGCGUAGCAAUACGUCAGCGGCAGACGGGUGAGUAACGCGUGGGAACGUACCUUUUGGUUCGGAACAACCCAGGGAAACUUGGGCUAAUACCGGAUAAGCCCUUACGGGGAAAGAUUUAUCGCCGAAAGAUCGGCCCGCGUCUGAUUAGCUAGUUGGUGAGGUAAUGGCUCACCAAGGCGACGAUCAGUAGCUGGUCUGAGAGGAUGAUCAGCCACAUUGGGACUGAGACACGGCCCAAACUCCUACGGGAGGCAGCAGUGGGGAAUAUUGGACAAUGGGCGCAAGCCUGAUCCAGCCAUGCCGCGUGAGUGAUGAAGGCCCUAGGGUUGUAAAGCUUCUUUUGUGCGGGAAGAUAAUGACGGUACCGCAAGAAUAAGCCCGGCUAACUUCGUGCCAGCAGCCGC